Agrilus planipennis (emerald ash borer) is the source of this 596-nucleotide long non-coding RNA. RefSeq lists it as uncharacterized. NCBI's taxonomy places the organism in Eukaryota, Metazoa, Arthropoda, Insecta, Coleoptera, Buprestidae. The transcript is spliced from 3 exons. The record is from RefSeq and is a predicted model, not a curated record.
CAAAUAUUAGUUGAAAGUAAUGAAGCUAAUGGCUCUGUUUGCUUUAAAUUUCUUUAGAAUUGUAGUUUUGGAAUGGUUUUUAUUUUGGUGCAAAUGAGUAAUAGCAUAGUAGUGAUAGCAGAUAUGUUAUAUUAAGGAAGAUUCAUUUAUUGACUUAAAAAUAUAUUGUGUUUCAUUUUUAUAUGUAGAAUAAGAUAGUUCUAUGUUAUUGAUUUAUGGCAUUGGUUGUAUUCGGUCCUUCUUCACUCCAGAAUGUAGCAGUAAAAUAAGGAAGUAUACAAGUGCAUUUUUCUACUGGCAACAGAGACAGUGUGUUAUUUUUGCUAAAGGAAGGAUUUAGGACAAUUAAUUGGUUAUUUAAUUCAAUUAAAGUUCAGUUGGAUCAUACCGAAACAACCAGUUUCUACAAUGGUAACAUCUUUCCUGGGCUGUAUUCUUCAUUUGCUGCUUUUGUCUUCGCCUUGCAACAUUAUGCAAUUACUUUCCAACCAGUGAGUGGAAACAAGUGGAGAUUUAUUUAAAUUCUACUAAAACAAUAAAUUUUCUGCUAUGGAUUUAGUUUGCUUUUCACAUCUGCAAACUUUGGAACAUUACAA